AUUGAACGCUGGCGGCAGGCCUAACACAUGCAAGUCGAACGGUAACAGGGAUCAGCUUGCUGAUUCGCUGACGAGUGGCGGACGGGUGAGUAAUGUCUGGGAAACUGCCUGAUGGAGGGGGAUAACUACUGGAAACGGAAGCUAAUACCGCAUAACGUCGCAAGACCAAAGAGGGGGACCUUCGGGCCUCUUGCCAUCGGAUGUGCCCAGAUGGGAUUAGCUAGUAGGUGGGGUAACGGCUCACCUAGGCGACGAUCCCUAGCUGGUCUGAGAGGAUGACCAGCCACACUGGAACUGAGACACGGUCCAGACUCCUACGGGAGGCAGCAGUGGGGAAUAUUGCACAAUGGGCGCAAGCCUGAUGCAGCCAUGCCGCGUGUAUGAAGAAGGCCUUCGGGUUGUAAAGUACUUUCAGCGGGGAGGAAGGGAGUAAAGUUAAUACCUUUGCUCAUUGACGUUACCCGCAGAAGAAGCACCGGCUAACUCCGUG
RNAcentral lists this ribosomal RNA (490 nucleotides) under uncultured bacterium. RNAcentral describes it as "partial 16S ribosomal RNA". It matches the Rfam family "Bacterial small subunit ribosomal RNA", at positions 30 to 507 of the family's 1533-position model. The record is from RNAcentral.